Molecule: ribosomal RNA, 253 nt
Filed under: uncultured bacterium
Lineage: Bacteria
Description: partial 16S ribosomal RNA
Rfam family: Bacterial small subunit ribosomal RNA
Source: RNAcentral
UACGUAGGUGGCAAGCGUUGUCCGGAUUUAUUGGGUUUAAAGGGUGCGUAGGCGGCUUUGUAAGUCAGUGGUGAAAUACUCCAGCUCAACUGGAGAGGUGCCAUUGAUACUGCAGAGCUAGAGUACUGAUGAGGUAGGCGGAAUGGACGGUGUAGCGGUGAAAUGCUUAGAUAUCGUCCAGAACACCGAUAGCGAAGGCAGCUUACUAAAGAGUAACUGACGCUGAGGCACGAAAGCGUGGGGAGCAAACAGG